AGUGAACGCUGGCGGUAGGCCUAACACAUGCAAGUCGAACGGCAGCACAGUAAGAGCUUGCUCUUACGGGUGGCGAGUGGCGGACGGGUGAGGAGUACAUCGGAAUCUACUUUUUCGUGGGGGAUAACGUAGGGAAACUUACGCUAAUACCGCAUACGACCUAAGGGUGAAAGCAGGGGAACUUCGGACCUUGCGCGAUUGAAUGAGCCGAUGUCGGAUUAGCUAGUUGGCGGGGUAAAGGCCCACCACGGCGACGAUCCGUAGCUGGUCUGAGAGGAUGAUCAGCCACACUGGAACUGAGACACGGUCCAGACUCCUACGGGAGGCAGCAGUGGGGAAUAUUGGACAAUGGGCGCAAGCCUGAUCCAGCCAUACCGCGUGGGUGAAGAAGGCCUUCGGGUUGUAAAGCCCUUUUGUUGGGAAAGAAAAGCAGCAGGUUAAUACCCCGCUGUUCUGACGGUACCCAAAGAAUAAGCACCGGCUAACUUCGUG
This 492-nucleotide ribosomal RNA is filed under the name uncultured bacterium. Its description in RNAcentral is "partial 16S ribosomal RNA". It matches the Rfam family "Bacterial small subunit ribosomal RNA", at positions 29 to 507 of the family's 1533-position model. The record is from RNAcentral.